GAUGAAGAACGUAGCGAAAUGCGAUAAGUAAUGUGAAUUGCAGAAUUCAGUGAAUCAUCGAAUCUUUGAACGCACAUUGCGCCCGCCAGUAUUCUGGCGGGCAUGCCUGUCCGAGCGUCAUUACAACCCUCAAGCUCAGCUUGGUAUUGGGCCCCGCCGACCCGGCGGGCCCUAAAGUCAGUGGCGGUGCCGUCCGGCUCCGAGCGUAGUAAUUCUUCUCGCUCUGGAGGUCCGGUCGUGUGCUCGCCAGCAACCCCCAAUUUUUUUCAGGUUGACCUCGGAUCAGGUAGGGAUACCCGCUGAACUUAAGCAUAUCAAUAAGCGGAGGA
RNAcentral lists this unclassified non-coding RNA (329 nucleotides) under soil metagenome. Its description in RNAcentral is "partial contains 5.8S ribosomal RNA, internal transcribed spacer 2, and large subunit ribosomal RNA". The stretch from base 1 to 120 matches the Rfam family "5.8S ribosomal RNA", at positions 35 to 154 of the family's 154-position model. The record is from RNAcentral.